AGUUUUCUGUGCACGAGAAAAAGUUAUCUGUGCACAUGGUAAAAAAACAAAACAAAAAAAAACCUGGGAAGAGGAAAUUACGGAAGACACUCAUCUGCUGCAGUUUGCUGUCCGGACUCAGCCCUCAUACCGUGACUGUGGACGUCUAGUGUGCCCCCUUCUGAUUAUAAACUGGCUCUGAGCCGUCCUGGAAGACAUGGGUGUCCAGUGGGCUGCUUGAAGCCAUGCAGCGCAGCAGGACUGUGGGGAUGGGCCCUUCGAUGAUCUCGCCCUUUGAAAGACCACCAAUUUCCAGCCCUCCGAGCAGUAUUCUGAUUAUGAACUUGUUUUCCUUCUUCUAUUUAAGAGGUUUGGGGACCUUAGAUCUCAGAGCACAGGUAUCCGGAGAGUGUGGAGUCAGAAAAACAGCAAGAGGAAUGAAUAUCCAGGAAGCAAGUCAUCAAGCGGAGCCCACACACAGCAGGAAGCUGGGGCAGGAGGCAAGAUAAAGCUGUACCUCCUGGAGGGCCAAGUGUCUGCAUAACUGUCAUUCUUCUCCUGUGCUUGAAGAUCACAUGCAUCGCCAAGCUCGAGAUGAGAACAUGAGAUGACUCAGUGCAAAUCUUUGCCACAACUGGAACCAAGAGCACGUGUGGGACUCUGAGGAGGGCCUUGUCCUCCCCCUGUGCCUGAGUCACGAUCCUCAUGAAUGGACCACUCACCAUGCUGGACGUGGGAGAGUGUGGGUUUCUGUGGGGGAGUGUGUUCUGUAAAAUGGAAAUAUAAGAGAGCCAAACUCAGAAUCAUUUGAAGCCCGGUGAAAAGGAAUCUUAGGUUUUGUGUUUCCUGCCUUGGUAGAAAGAGAUCAGUCAGAGAAAAAAAGUUCAUAUCAAGAAUUUUUUUUUCCUUCAAAACCUGAAACAAACCAACCAUAAGUAAAACAGAGAAUUUCAAGCUUCAACUCAACUUACUUGUUUACUUCCUGUUCAUUCCAGAUUGUCAGGAAAAACAGAUCGUCAAAGUGGUACUCCAUGGUGUAUGUGUACUGAACUGCGUACAAGCCUAUGUCCUUGUGUUUUCAAGCAAAAACCUUUUCAUUUAAGCCUUUAGCCUCCCAGGCCUCAAGAUUUGAAAAUGAGGAAAUACUGAUACAGCUACAAACUAGUUGAAACAGUCUCCAUUAUGCUAGGACUUGCCUUGACCCACUAACUUACUCAAACUAGCCUUUCACAAAUGAUUUCCUCCUUGCUUAAUUGCUUUCUUUUACUAAUGAUUACUUUCUAGUUAAGGUUAUAUUGUAUGCCUAGUGUUUUCUUUUCCUUUGAGACACUCCCUAAGUCCCCAUUCCUUCCAUGAGCCAUCUUCUCUGCAGAGAGAAGGUCAAGGCGAGAUAACCCCAAAGACCACCAGAAACCAUCACUGGACACAUGACUUGAGCCUUGAUGAUUCUGAGGUGGUCUUUGGAGGGAGAAGAAUACAGGCACCUUGAUCCCUAUCAACAGCCCUUUUGUCUUCCAAGCUAAACCUAUAAAAAUCCCUUGC
RNAcentral lists this long non-coding RNA (1521 nucleotides) under Sus scrofa (pig). RNAcentral describes it as "lncRNA (ENSSSCG00005037846.1)". Lineage: Eukaryota; Metazoa; Chordata; Mammalia; Artiodactyla; Suidae. The record is from RNAcentral.